RNAcentral lists this ribosomal RNA (460 nucleotides) under uncultured bacterium. Its description in RNAcentral is "partial 16S ribosomal RNA". It matches the Rfam family "Bacterial small subunit ribosomal RNA", at positions 338 to 795 of the family's 1533-position model. The record is from RNAcentral.
CCUACGGGAGGCAGCAGUGAGGAAUAUUGGUCAAUGGACGAGAGUCUGAACCCGCCAAGUAGCGUGAAGGAUGACUGCCCUAUGGGUUGUAAACUUCUUUUAUAUGGGAAUAAAAUGUUCCACGUGUGGGAUUUUGUAUGUACCAUAUGAAUAAGGAUCGGCUAACUCCGUGCCAGCAGCCGCGGUACUACGGAGGAUCCGAGCGUUAUCCGGAUUUAUUGGGUUUAAAGGGAGCGUAGGUGGAUUGUUAAGUCAGUUGUGAAAGGUUGCGGCUCCACCGUAAAAUUGCAGUUGAAACUGGCAGUCUUGAGUACAGUAGAGGUGGGCAGAAUUCGUGGUGUAGCGGUGAAAUGCUUAGAUAUCACGAAGAACUCCGAUUGCGAAGGCAGCUCACUGGACUGCAACUGACACUGAGGCUCGAAAGUGUGGGUAUCAAACAGGAUUAGAUACCCCAGGAGUC